This 253-nucleotide ribosomal RNA is filed under the name uncultured bacterium. RNAcentral's name for it is "partial 16S ribosomal RNA". It matches the Rfam family "Bacterial small subunit ribosomal RNA", at positions 524 to 776 of the family's 1533-position model. The record is from RNAcentral.
UACGGAGGGGGCGAGCGUUAUUCGGAAUUAUUGGGCGUAAAGGGCGCGUAGGCGGCUGGGCAAGUCAAAGGUGAAAUCCCUCGGCUCAACUGAGGAACUGCCUUUGAAACUGCCUGGCUUGAGGCCGGGAGGGGGUAGCGGAAUUCCCAGUGUAGCGGUGAAAUGCGUAGAUAUUGGGAGGAACACCAGUGGCGAAGGCGGCUACCUGGACCGGCACUGACACUGAAGCACGAAAGCGUGGGGAGCAAACAGG